AUGAUAGGCCAUUGUCAUAAUUUUAGCUUGCUUUUCCCCUUCAUCCACUCGAAUGUUCAGGAGGUUUCAGCCAUAGUUCUCUAGGAGAAGAGAAGUAAAUCAACUGAUUGAUUCUAGUUCUACUGGAAUUAUAGGAAUGGAAAGUAUUUGAAAUUUUUUAGAUUACUAUCUAGCUAAUGCUUGAUUUUUCUGCCAAUUCCCUUGUACAUCACUCUCGGCUGCAAGGCACAGCAAAGCUGACUUGCAU
This 247-nucleotide long non-coding RNA is filed under the name Linum usitatissimum (flax). RNAcentral's name for it is "long non-coding RNA (LUSI_LNC000574)". The record is from RNAcentral. Lineage: Eukaryota; Viridiplantae; Streptophyta; Magnoliopsida; Malpighiales; Linaceae.